GCGGCUGCAUGUGGGAAGAGGCUACUGCCCUCCGAAGGCAGGGGUUGCUGGUUCGAUCCCAGCCGGGCGCGCCA
Molecule: transfer RNA, 74 nt
Filed under: Burkholderia pseudomallei
Lineage: Bacteria; Pseudomonadati; Pseudomonadota; Betaproteobacteria; Burkholderiales; Burkholderiaceae
Description: tRNA-Ser
Source: RNAcentral